GAUUUAUUUUAUUUAAUUAUUUUUAUUUUUUUUUUUUUUGUGCUAUACUUGUAGUGGGUGCAUACUACCACAAAAAGACAGCAGUUCCGCAUGUUCAUACUAAAAGGAAUUCUGAAAAGGUUUUUAGCUUGUUCAUUUUAUUUUAAUGAUAAAGAAAUUACCAAACACAAAAAAGUUGAUAAUGAAAAUGUAUUAAAUGAUGACGAAGCUUUAAUAUUAAAAAAUAUAUUCCUACUAUUAUACGAAAGUUUAGAAUAUUUAGACAUAACUAACUUUACCAAUAUAAAUGACAAGAACUGUAUUUUUGAAUUGAUAAAAUUUUUUAUUGAAUUAAUAAAGAAACCAUUAUUGCACUCAGUACAUAUACUAUGUAUAAACUAUUUAAUACAAAUAAUAAAAAAAAUGUUAUGAUUAUAGACUUUGUUAUAAUAUUAAUGUAGAACUAUAUGAUAUAGGACCAUGUGUUAAUAUUUUUGUUAAAGUUGUUAACUUGAUUUUUGCUAAGCUUUUAUGCGUUUUCAAAGAUAUAAAAAAUGAAGAACAUAUUUAUUCUAUUGAUGAAAUAAAUAAUAUUAACAAUUUAGUCAUGUUAUUUUUUGUAAAUGUCAUAAACAACUUUGUUCGUAUACUUAUACCUCAAGUGCUUUUUAACGAAAAACUGAAACAUGACUAUUUAACUUGCAACGAAAUGGAAAAUACAAAAAAAAUAAAAAAUAAGUACGAGGAAAUAUCUUUUGAAGAUAAAAUUGUCCUAAACACAUGUAAUCCCAUAUUUUCGUUUAUAGAAAUAUUAAUUAUCAACAACCAUGAAAGAUACGAAAAGGCUUUUUAUGUCGACUUAAUAAAAACAUUGAUCAACGAAUGUAGAAAAAUAGAAAGACAGUACAAUAUUAUGAAAAUAAUACAUGAUGAAUAUAUAUUAUUUAUUAAAGGAGAUGAUUAUAAAAAAAACAAAACUUAUAUAUUGAUAGAAAUUAUUUGAAAAUAAAAAAAUUGAGUAAACAAAGAUU
Molecule: long non-coding RNA, 1010 nt
Filed under: Piliocolobus tephrosceles (Ugandan red Colobus)
Lineage: Eukaryota; Metazoa; Chordata; Mammalia; Primates; Cercopithecidae
Description: lncRNA (ENSPTEG00000012451.1)
Source: RNAcentral